Toxorhynchites rutilus septentrionalis is the source of this 260-nucleotide long non-coding RNA. RefSeq lists it as uncharacterized. NCBI's taxonomy places the organism in Eukaryota, Metazoa, Arthropoda, Insecta, Diptera, Culicidae. The transcript is spliced from 3 exons. The record is from RefSeq and is a predicted model, not a curated record.
CUAUUUAGAAAAGACGUUUGAGGAAUGGCAAGACGAAAAGUUUGGAUUUGUUUAUGUUAUUACUUACGUUGGUAUGGUUACAUUUGAUUUCGUCGAAGAUCAUUCGUUGCGCUCAAACUGUUAGUCUUGCUUGAUUCCACCAAAAUCGGGGGAUAUUUUCUGUAGAAAAAAUUAAUAUGUUUGAAUGCGUGACUACUCCGUGGUAGAGAAAACUACAAUUGGGGUCACAGCAUCAAUCACUUCAAUCCAGUGAUUCUGGU